UACGUAGGGUGCGAGCGUUAAUCGGAAUUACUGGGCGUAAAGCGUGCGCAGGCGGUCGUGCAAGUCAGAUGUGAAAUCCCCGGGCUUAACCUGGGAACUGCAUUUGUGACUGUACGGCUGGAGUGCGGCAGAGGGGGAUGGAAUUCCGCGUGUAGCAGUGAAAUGCGUAGAUAUGCGGAGGAACACCGAUGGCGAAGGCAAUCCCCUGGGCCUGCACUGACGCUCAGGCACGAAAGCGUGGGGAGCAAACAGG
Molecule: ribosomal RNA, 253 nt
Filed under: uncultured bacterium
Lineage: Bacteria
Description: partial 16S ribosomal RNA
Rfam family: Bacterial small subunit ribosomal RNA
Source: RNAcentral